Molecule: ribosomal RNA, 501 nt
Filed under: uncultured bacterium
Lineage: Bacteria
Description: partial 16S ribosomal RNA
Rfam family: Bacterial small subunit ribosomal RNA
Source: RNAcentral
AUUGAACGCUGGCGGCAGGCUUAACACAUGCAAGUCGAGCGGGGGAAGGUAGCUUGCUACUGGACCUAGCGGCGGACGGGUGAGUAAUGCUUAGGAAUCUGCCUAUUAGUGGGGGACAACAUCUCGAAAGGGAUGCUAAUACCGCAUACGUCGUACGGGAGAAAGCAGGGGAUCUUCGCACCUUGCGCUAAUAGAUGAGCCUAAGUCGGAUUAGCUAGUUGGUGGGGUAAAGGCCUACCAAGGCGACGAUCUGUAGCGGGUCUGAGAGGAUGAUCCGCCACACUGGGACUGAGACACGGCCCAGACUCCUACGGGAGGCAGCAGUGGGGAAUAUUGGACAAUGGGGGGAACCCUGAUCCAGCCAUGCCGCGUGUGUGAAGAAGGCCUUAUGGUUGUAAAGCACUUUAAGCGAGGAGGAGGCUACUCUAGUUAAUACCUAGGGAUAGUGGACGUUACUCGCAGAAUAAGCACCGGCUAACUCUGUGCCAGCCGCCGCCGUAA